RNAcentral lists this ribosomal RNA (450 nucleotides) under uncultured bacterium. RNAcentral's name for it is "bacterial SSU rRNA". It matches the Rfam family "Bacterial small subunit ribosomal RNA", at positions 29 to 524 of the family's 1533-position model. The record is from RNAcentral.
AACGAACGCUGGCGGCAGGCCUAACACAUGCAAGUCGAACGCCCUAGCAAUAGGGAGUGGCAGACGGGUGAGUAACACGUGGGAACCUUCCCUAUAGUACGGAAUAGCUCAGGGAAACUUGAAGUAAUACCGUAUACGCCCGAGAGGGGAAAGAUUUAUCGCUAUAGGAUGGGCCCGCGUCGGAUUAGCUAGUUGGUGAGGUAAUGGCUCACCAAGGCGACGAUCCGUAGCUGGUUUGAGAGAACGACCAGCCACACUGGGACUGAGACACGGCCCAGACUCCUACGGGAGGCAGCAGUGGGGAAUAUUGGACAAUGGGCGCAAGCCUGAUCCAGCCAUGCCGCGUGAGUGAUGAAGGCCUUAGGGUUGUAAAGCUCUUUUAGUCAGGGAAGAUAAUGACUGUACCUGCAGAAUAAGCUCCGGCUAACUUCGUGCCAGCAGCCGCGUAAU